UAUAUUAACUGGACCAGGUGCAAGUGGCCAAAGGCUAGGGUUUUUUAUCCCCCCACUGCCCAGGAGAGGUGGUGACGUGGACUUGAAAGGCCUGCAAUGGGGUUGGAGCUAGCUCCCCCCAGUAGGCAGGCUCAGUAUUGGAGCCGAGCCAGAGGCAGGCCGAGGAGUGGCCCAGGAGCUGCAGAAGCAGCGGAGAUCGUGCAGAGCUAGAAGAAUUCCAGGUAGAGGAUGAGAGAAAGACUCCAAGCAGUCUCACUACCACUUUCCCCCCACACACAACGGGGUGGGAGGAGGCGACCCUGAGUUGAGAGUGAGCAACAGAGAGAAGGGCCGAGGGGCUCGGAGGAGGCCCUAUGUGAGGUUUGGGUGAGAGCAGCCGAAAACUGAAGGAGGAAUGCAGGGGGAAGAGUGCCUCCCAUGACACAUAGAAGUCAAGCUGAAGCUGCAGCAGCUUGAAACAGAGAGAAGCUAAACCAAGCAGGUUUUUUCUGGGUAAGGACUUUUGGUGAAAACUAUUUGGGGUAUAAAUACUGAGCAAAACCCAGAAAUCCUGUACCUUGGAGAGCAAGAGUGGACAUCUUACUCUCUGGGAGGAACCUUCAUGUACUGGGGGGAAAGGACUCAAAAGCUGACCCCCUGUAAAUCGUGAUGAAGACCUGGUAAAACAAGUGUUCCCUUGUAGUCCAGGAGGAGACCUCAGCAGGGUCAAGCAGCUGGUGGCGGAUCUUCAUCUACAAACAAUGAACAGACAUUUGGCACACUAGAAAAUGAUCAGCAAAAGAAAGGAUAUCCAUGCCAUUAAAAGUUCUUGCACCAUACUAUCCCUGACUCUCCCCUGAAUCUCCCAGAUGGAGACUAGAUGUUCCAUAAGCAACAGCGUUUAGGUUUGUUUAGGUUAGACUUCAGUUAAUUUAAAAAUAAAAAUUGGAAAAUUCUGGGUAGGUAGGUUAUAAAAAUGUGAUAAGGUAAACUGCAUAGAAUCAAGCAGUAACUAGAGCAAUGCUACCAUCAUAAUCUUGUGUGUAA
Molecule: long non-coding RNA, 1026 nt
Organism: Corapipo altera (White-ruffed manakin)
Lineage: Eukaryota; Metazoa; Chordata; Aves; Passeriformes; Pipridae
Exons: 3
Source: RefSeq, a predicted model, not a curated record